CAAGAAGACAGCUGGUUAGCUAUAACUAGUGUAUUUAGCUACUUCCCUAACCAUUGCCCACCCUUAUUAAUGGUUAAACACUCUCUGUGUCAUUGUUUGCUCUUUCUGGCCAAUUCAAACUCUUUCAAGUGGGAGGAAGAGUGAAGCGUGGAGGGAAACCAACACCAAAGGCCUGCUUGUAUUUUACAAGAUACCCAAUUAAAUGGCACCUCAGGUUACCUAUAAGUGUCACUUGUUUUCCUGUUAAGGGACAUUUAUUGGAACUCAGAAAUGCAUGAAUGAGCAGAGCUCUUAACCUUGCCUUGAUAUUGGUGGAUGCGUAUUGUGCCUAACUGCCAUCCUUCGUACCUACGUGUUAUCUUUCCCUUAUCUCCACAGUAUCAGAGAGCUUCAAUUUUCUGCUUAUUUAUCUCCAUGGUGUCCUGAGGACUUCUUAAAAGAAUGAGAUCUGACUAACUUGUCCAAAGUCACACAAGAAACUGGUGUCAGCGCAGAGGAUUGAUAAUUUGUCAGCAUGACAAGUGGGUGGCCAUGAAGCCUUUCUGGAGCACCUCAAAUGUCACAGCAGCCCUUUGGCCUUGGGCCCCUGCCCUUCUUGCAGGGAGCGGUUGAAGCUGUGCUGGCCUCAGGCCCUCGUGGGUCUGGGUGUCCCUUGGCUGCCCAUGCACGGGGCUGUGGCAGGCCAAAAACCCACUUGGGCAAGAUUCAAACAAACAUCCAGGCCAGCAGCUUCAAGUGCUCUCAUUCACAAGUGAUCAGUCAGAAAUCUCUCUGCUGGGUUUGGUGGCACUGACAUCAAAGGUAAAGCAUUUUUCAUUGCAUGACCACACUGACGUCACCACUGCAAAGC
RNAcentral lists this long non-coding RNA (850 nucleotides) under Junco hyemalis (dark-eyed junco). RNAcentral describes it as "lncRNA (ENSJHYG00000012688.1)". The record is from RNAcentral. Lineage: Eukaryota; Metazoa; Chordata; Aves; Passeriformes; Passerellidae.